AUUGAACGCUGGCGGAAUGCUUUACACAUGCAAGUCGAGCGGCAGCGCGGGGCAACCUGGCGGCGAGCGGCGAACGGGUGAGUAACACAUCGGAACGUGCUCAGACGUGGGGGAUAGCCCGGCGAAAGCCGGAUUAAUACCGCAUACGAUCUAAGGAUGAAAGCGGGGGACUCGCAAGGGCCUCGCGCGUUUGGAGCGGCCGAUGGCAGAUUAGGUAGUUGGUGGGGUAAAGGCUUACCAAGCCUGCGAUCUGUAGCUGGUCUGAGAGGAUGAUCAGCCACACUGGGACUGAGACACGGCCCAGACUCCUACGGGAGGCAGCAGUGGGGAAUUUUGGACAAUGGGCGCAAGCCUGAUCCAGCCAUUCCGCGUGCAGGACGAAGG
Molecule: ribosomal RNA, 384 nt
Filed under: uncultured bacterium
Lineage: Bacteria
Description: bacterial SSU rRNA
Rfam family: Bacterial small subunit ribosomal RNA
Source: RNAcentral